GCCUGGGUGGCUCAGUCAGUUGAGCGGCCGACUUCAGCUCAGGUCAUGAUCUCGUGGUCCGUGGGUUCGAGCCCCGCAUCGGGCU
Molecule: non-coding RNA, 85 nt
Organism: Felis catus (domestic cat)
Lineage: Eukaryota; Metazoa; Chordata; Mammalia; Carnivora; Felidae
Source: Rfam